Molecule: transfer RNA, 59 nt
Filed under: Phytophthora infestans (potato late blight agent)
Lineage: Eukaryota; Oomycota; Peronosporomycetes; Peronosporales; Peronosporaceae
Also listed under: 1 other name
Rfam family: tRNA
About the family: Transfer RNA (tRNA) molecules are approximately 80 nucleotides in length. Their secondary structure includes four short double-helical elements and three loops (D, anti-codon, and T loops). Further hydrogen bonds mediate the characteristic L-shaped molecular structure. tRNAs have two regions of fundamental functional importance: the anti-codon, which is responsible for specific mRNA codon recognition, and the 3' end, to which the tRNAs corresponding amino acid is attached (by aminoacyl-tRNA synthetases). tRNAs cope with the degeneracy of the genetic code in two manners: having more than one tRNA (with a specific anti-codon) for a particular amino acid; and 'wobble' base-pairing, i.e. permitting non-standard base-pairing at the 3rd anti-codon position.
Source: Rfam by way of RNAcentral
UUAGCUCAAUGGUUGAGCGUUGGCUUUGAGAGCGACUGGUCGGUGGUUCGAACCCACCA